Molecule: unclassified non-coding RNA, 387 nt
Filed under: soil metagenome
Description: partial contains 5.8S ribosomal RNA, internal transcribed spacer 2, and large subunit ribosomal RNA
Rfam family: 5.8S ribosomal RNA (bases 1-120)
Source: RNAcentral
GAUGAAGAACGUAGCGAAAUGCGAUAAGUAAUGUGAAUUGCAGAAUUCAGUGAAUCAUCGAAUCUUUGAACGCACCUUGCGCUCCUUGGUAUUCCGAGGAGCAUGCCUGUUUGAGUGUCAUGAAAUUCUCAACCUUUUCAGCUUUCUUUGUUGAUCAGGCUUGGAUGUGGGAGUAUGCGGGCUUCUCAGAAGUCGGCUCUCCUGAAAUGCAUUAGCGGGACCUUUGUUGCCUGGCUUUGGUGUGAUAAUUAUCUACGCCAUUGUAGUCAAGCAGCUUAAAAUGAGGUUUCAGCUUCUAACCGUCUCCCCUGAGACAACUUUUUGACAAUUUGACCUCAAAUCAGGUAGGACUACCCGCUGAACUUAAGCAUAUCAAUAAGCGUAGGA